GCCGGCUUAGCUCAGUGGUAGAGCGUCUGCCUUGUAAGCAGGGGGUCGGGGGUUCAAAUCCCUCAGCCGGCACCA
RNAcentral lists this transfer RNA (75 nucleotides) under Paracoccus sp. C2R09. RNAcentral's name for it is "tRNA-Thr". It matches the Rfam family "tRNA". Rfam says of the family: Transfer RNA (tRNA) molecules are approximately 80 nucleotides in length. Their secondary structure includes four short double-helical elements and three loops (D, anti-codon, and T loops). RNAcentral also lists the same sequence under 1 other name. Lineage: Bacteria; Pseudomonadati; Pseudomonadota; Alphaproteobacteria; Rhodobacterales; Paracoccaceae. The record is from RNAcentral.